Molecule: ribosomal RNA, 238 nt
Filed under: uncultured bacterium
Lineage: Bacteria
Description: partial 16S ribosomal RNA
Rfam family: Bacterial small subunit ribosomal RNA
Source: RNAcentral
CGGCGGACGGGUGAGUAACGCGUGGGUAACCUGCCUUAUACAGGGGGAUAACAACCAGAAAUGGUUGCUAAUACCGCAUAAGCGCACAGGACCGCAUGGUCCGGUGUGAAAAACUCCGGUGGUAUAAGAUGGACCCGCGUUGGAUUAGCUAGUUGGCAGGGUAACGGCCUACCAAGGCGACGAUCCAUAGCCGGCCUGAGAGGGUGAACGGCCACAUUGGGACUGAGACACGGCCCAG